RNAcentral lists this small RNA (882 nucleotides) under Rattus norvegicus (Norway rat). RNAcentral describes it as "uncharacterized LOC102548586". Lineage: Eukaryota; Metazoa; Chordata; Mammalia; Rodentia; Muridae. The record is from RNAcentral.
CAAAUUCCCAACCCCUUGUUUCUUUUUUCUUUUUUUUUUUCCUUCUUCCUUUCAUGUAGAUGCAAGUCCAUCUCAUUUAGGUUCUGACAGUUCUUGGGGAUUACCUGCCUUUUUCCCUAUUAAUUUAUUUAUUCAUUUUACAUCCUGAUCGCAGCCCCCUCUCUGAGAUCAUGUUUUGGUAUUUUUUAAGUUGCAAAGUACCCUAGUGAGUGUAUGAUUUUGAUAUUCCUUCCUCUUGUGUAUACUGAGUUCAUCUGGUAGAAUAAAUGUAUAAAACAAAAACCCUAAAUAUGUUUACCUGUGGACUGGGUACUGAGUAGUUGUUAGUCCAGAUAUUACAUUCGUUAUGAGACGCUCAAGAGUCUGGAGCAGAUGAAUGUUAGCUCACGUCCCCUCUCUCUAGGAUGUGCUUCUCUCUCCUUUUAAACACCACACAGAAGCUGCAUGUGGAAGGUGGAGGCAGGAGGAUCCAGAGUCACAGGCUAGCCUCAGCUACGUGGUGAAUAUGGAUGAAAUUUCACAAAAAGAAGCUGCUUUUUCAAAGUGAACCUUCCGCAAGGCUGACUAAUCCUCGAAGCUACGUGACAGAGAUGGAGCACUGGGAAUGCACAGAGAACCAGUUUCCCUUUGGGAAAUAGUCUCUCGCUUCCUCCUGUCUGAACCUGAAGGCAUCAUCAGUAUGUGGGGCCUAAACCAGAGUUCUCCGUUUUCCUGUGGCCAGCCUCUCCGAUGCUCCCACCCAUGUAUCUGAAAAGCACCUUGAUUUAUUUUGAUGAUUUUUUAUUUAUUUAUCUGUAAACAAACUCUGUGUCCCGUGGCCACAGUCACCCACGUUUGUCUCCAAAAUAAACGUCUCUUCUUUGAGAGGGAGAGAAAGAAAGA